GACAGCCCCCGAAAGGGGGAAGUUAAAAAUAAAAUUUGUCGUAUUGGUAGACUUUGAAAGUUAAUUUUCAAAGGUUGAAGAUUCGGCUGAUGUGCAUACAA
Molecule: non-coding RNA, 101 nt
Filed under: unclassified sequences
Description: RT-17 RNA
Rfam family: RT-17 RNA
About the family: Bacteroidales (Bacteroidetes), Clostridiales (Firmicutes).
Source: Rfam by way of RNAcentral